CUAUAUAUCUACCUUAAUCUUCUUAAGGCAACUCUAUCGACUCUCUGUACCCUUAACCAGCUUUGUAAGCAACACUUUCAUCCUUUAAUUAGCAUCACGGUUCCUCGGUGGAACCUAUGCACCAUACUUUACCUUAUAAUCAUCAUUUCUCCUUCAGUUAAUAUCUCUUUCUUCUCUUAUCCCUAUAUAUUUCACCAUAAUAAUUCUAACC
RNAcentral lists this long non-coding RNA (211 nucleotides) under Capsicum annuum. RNAcentral describes it as "long non-coding RNA (CANN_LNC016338)". Lineage: Eukaryota; Viridiplantae; Streptophyta; Magnoliopsida; Solanales; Solanaceae. The record is from RNAcentral.